GAUGAGAACGCAGCAAAAUGCGAUAAGUAAUGUGAAUUGCAGAAUUCAGUGAAUCAUCGAAUCUUUGAACGCACAUUGCGCCCGCUGGUAUUCCGGCGGGCAUGCCUGUUCGAGCGUCAUUUCAACCCUCAAACCCCCCGGGUUUGGUGUUGGGGAUCGGCUCUGCCUCACGGCGGUGCCGCCCCCGAAAUACAUUGGCGGUCUCGCUGCAGCCUCCAUUGCGUAGUAGCUAACACCUCGCAACUGGAACGCGGCGCGGCCAUGCCGUAAAACCCCAACUUCUGAAUGUUGACCUCGGAUCAGGUAGGAAUACCCGCUGAACUUAAGCAUAUCAAUAAGCGGAGGA
This 346-nucleotide unclassified non-coding RNA is filed under the name soil metagenome. RNAcentral's name for it is "partial contains 5.8S ribosomal RNA, internal transcribed spacer 2, and large subunit ribosomal RNA". The stretch from base 5 to 119 matches the Rfam family "5.8S ribosomal RNA", at positions 40 to 154 of the family's 154-position model. The record is from RNAcentral.